UUGGAGGGCAAGUCUGGUGCCAGCAGCCGCGGUAAUUCCAGCUCCAAUAGCGUAUAUUAAAGUUGUUGCAGUUAAAAAGCUCGUAGUUGAAUUUCGGGAUCAAUGUUUCGGUCAUGCCGUUGGUAUGUACUGGUCAUAUUGGUUCUCACCUUCUAAGGAACCAUAAUGUCAUUCAUUUGAUGUUUUGGGGAAUUAGGACUGUUACUUUGAAAAAAUUAGAGUGUUUAAAGCAGGCUCGCGCUUGAAUACAUUAGCAUGGAAUAAUGAAAUAGGACGUUUGACCCUAUUUUGUUGGUUUCUAAGAUCGACGUAAUGAUUAAUAGGGAUAGUUGGGGGCAUUAGUAUUCAAUUGUCAGAGGUGAAAUUCUUGGAUUUAUUGAAGACUAACUACUGCGAAAGCAUUUGCCAAGGAUGUUUUCAUUAAUCAAGAACGAAAGUUAGGGGAUCGAAGACGAUCAGAUACCGUCGUAGUCUUAACCAUAAACUAUGCCGACUAGGGAUCGGAUGAUGUUAAUUUUUUAAUGACUCAUUCGGCGCCUUAGGGAAAC
This 548-nucleotide ribosomal RNA is filed under the name uncultured Glomus. RNAcentral's name for it is "SSU rRNA". It matches the Rfam family "Eukaryotic small subunit ribosomal RNA", at positions 548 to 1098 of the family's 1831-position model. The record is from RNAcentral. Lineage: Eukaryota; Fungi; Glomeromycota; Glomeromycetes; Glomerales; Glomeraceae.